GUCAUGACUCAAUUGUAGAGCAUCUGUUUUGCAUACAAAAGGUCCCAGGUUCAAUCCCCAGCAUAUCCA
RNAcentral lists this transfer RNA (69 nucleotides) under Sphaerodactylus townsendi. Its description in RNAcentral is "tRNA-Ala". Lineage: Eukaryota; Metazoa; Chordata; Lepidosauria; Squamata; Sphaerodactylidae. The record is from RNAcentral.